ACAAGCUGGAGAAGAUGACAUCAUCACACGUGUCAUGUACCAUGCUGUCAAAAUACAAAGUAGAGCUGCAGUCUAUUCAGAAGUGAGAACUGAAGACAUCACUUACCAGCCAGGAACCAUCAGAACAAAGAAAGCCCAGAUUUUAAACCAGAACCAGACGUCGUCUACUCUUCACUGAAGUAGUCCACCAGUCCAUCCACUGAUGUCCAGCUACUGGUCUCUAACUGGUCUCCCAGCACCUCAGACCAGAGGACAUCCACAUUAUAUUAUCUUU
Maylandia zebra (zebra mbuna) is the source of this 274-nucleotide non-coding RNA. The record is from RefSeq and is a predicted model, not a curated record. Lineage: Eukaryota; Metazoa; Chordata; Actinopteri; Cichliformes; Cichlidae.